UCACCGCGAUACUGUCUCAGUCCCCAGAGCACGGAAGCCAAAAGGGAGCACAGGUGGCCUCAGCUGCUUUUCUCCUUUCGUUUCUUCUCACAUUGCUUAUCCGGCUGCCGCGGCAAGCUGCUGCUGCUUCUCGGACUGCUCCCAGCACUGUCUCCUCGCACAAACCAAAGCGAGGAGCGCUGCACCUCAGUGCCGCACACACCCCGUCAGAAGCGCUGUAUCCGACAGAGCGAGUCUCUCUCGGUUUGGGGGGGGGGGUUCUUUCCCUGGCCACACCCCCACCCCCACACACACACAUACAGAGAAAGAGCACUUUCGAAGCUUCUGUGACGCAGAAGCGCGGUCGCCGGCUGUUCAUCCUCGCUUGAGCCAGAGGGACGUUGGUGGCGAACCAGAGGUGGAGACCAAGUCUCCUGAGCCUUGUUGGCGCACGCUUGAAAGGGCGAGGCGCUCCAGUGCAUCUUUGCAUCCCGCUUGUGCUUCUUUUCCUCCCACCAUUUCUCCCUUCAUCUCAGGGCGGGUGAUGUGGACGUCGCUGCGAUGAAGAGCGCGUCACCGGGUCCAGAUAGGUCCCCUGCAGCCUCACUGUCGAAUACAUCGACGCCGGCCGUUGCUGGCAGCACUGCUGGCACAUCGAGGCCGUCAGCGUCACAUGAGAUACAGACGGAGCCGCGGUACAUAAGGCUCCCAGACGCACUCUACGCCCUGCGCCGCCGCUACCCCUCUGUUACGGAAAGCGUUUUUCUCGAAUGCACGCGCUGCCAUCAGUGGGUGGCGGUGCCCGUUUUGCGUGAAAUUCCGAACGAAAUAGCCACUGCUGCCGUGUCGCGCAGUGCGCUGGGAUUGGAUUCGAUAAGCGUCCGCACAGGCUACAGCGGUCCGCUACAUCAUACGCAUCAAGACGCCUUGCGCCGACGUGAGGAGCUCGCGAAUGACGCCGCCGUCCCGCAGUGGCGGUCAAGGCGACUCCAGGAGAAGCACAGCCACCUCUCGAGAGGCGACGCCAACCACAACGGCGAAGCGCAUGGUGACGUCAGUAGGGCGGCGACAGCGACCCCUCAGCAGGCCUUCUUCGAGUCCAUCCUGCAACACCUGCGAUGCAGCCGGCGCCCGUCACAGGAGGGUGCGGAGGACUCGGCGAUGGAAGCUUCUGAGAGCGCGCGCCAGAGGAGUCGACGGCACACGCCUCUCUACAUUCCGAACCCUGAUACGUUCAUUUGCGCCGGGUGGCAGUGCGCCUGGGACGCGGACGCGCUUGCCGACCUUCGGCGAGACUGGCUGCAGACCAUCUAUCGCGCUCUUCCGAUGCCUCCCGUUUGCGAAGAGAGCAUGGCCCUCUCCUCUGGCGCCUCCUCCUCCUCCCCCUCCCUCCCAACCUCCCCGGCUGUCUCUUUCAUAGAGGCGCUGCGGCAGCGAAAGGCAGCGCUGAACGAGACCCUCGCACUGGAGCUCGAUGUGGGGCGGAGCCGACGCUGGGGACGCGGCGUUGGCCAGCGGGCGGGCCGCUCUGAACACAACUUGGAGAUCCAGGAUAGCCUGCCGGCUCUCUCGCUGCCCGGCUGCGCCGCGGAGAGUGACACGGAGCUCUCUCGGAUGCAGGGGUCGUGGGUGAGGGCGGCCGCUCUGCACCUGCUCCGCAACAGCGGCAGCGCUGCUGAAGGCUGCCUUGUGACACCCGUUGCCGGGGACGACGAAGAGGCCGAAACGCCGCACCACCGUCAUUCCAGCGUGGAGGAAGACAGCCAGGAGAACGUGCUCUCCGCGUACUGCUGGGCGGUGUGCGACGCAUGUGGCAAGCUCCGUCGCGUCGCGCAGCCCUUCCCUGGUGGUGCCCCCUUUGUGUGCGCCAUGGCGGUGACAACGUCCUCGUCCUGUCGCGCAGCCCGCGGCAGCAACGCUCCGCAUUGUGAAGCAGCGUCUGGACUUGACCAGGCAUGCACUGUGUCGGAGGUGGAAGGGCUUCUGCAGUGCAACAUGAAGCUGUGCGAGGCAGAACUCAUCUACGCCGCCCUCUCAUCCCCUUUCCUGCCGUACCCUCUCAGGGCACAGCUGUCCGCGCUCGGCCGGCGACAGACCUGUUUCAAGGGUCCGCCGGAGCCGGCGAAGCGACUGAGCAGGGCUGAUGUGUCGCGCGUUUUGCUUUCUGAGCCGCUACUGCGGACGAUCCAGUCCAGCGUACGGGAGUCCGUGACGAAGGGGGACUUCCACCCCACCGCCUACCAGAGACGCCGCGGCUCCGGCGCCGCAGCCACCGCCACCCCAGCCCCGGUGAAGCCGCGUCGCAAGGCCUCAACAUCGGAACUCGACGACGCUGAUGCCCAGCUGGCAGAGGAGGAGCUCUUUCUUUACCGCUCACUCCCCAUAUUGCGCGAGCUUGCCCGCUCCAUCAAGGCGCGGAGCAUCAGCGCCUUUGUGCAGCAGCUGCAGCUCACACCCGCGCAGAUCCAGGCGAAGCGUGAGGCGGUGAUGCUGACCUCCUUCCUCAGUAAUCACCAGCACACGCCCACGACAGGCAGCGACAGCGGCACCGAAAAACGGAAACCCGCGGCGGUGAUCGCCACAACGAGCGAAGCGGAGAGGACGAGCGCGGAAGUGAAGGUAGAGGAAGGAGACACGUCGAGCACCGAGCCUGCGGAGCGCUUGCCACCACGGCCAACCCGCACGCGGACGAGAGCACCACCAGCGGUGCAAGAGAAUGCGCCAGCGCCGGCAGUGGUGAAGAAGGAACCUAUGAAAAUGCAAGCUGCCAGCGGCAGCGACAUUGCCACGCCUCAACCGGUGGGGGAGCCGACACCAGCCUGGACAAGAGGGAAGCCACCCCAAGAAGCAGGACCGCGGGCUUCGGAACGCCAGGAAGGUCUCGCAUAUGAAGCUGCGCCGCAGCAGCCCGCCCUUGGUGCCCCUCGAAAGCGCGGACGAACGCCUCGCCAGAGGCCAGGAGAGCCCUCAAGGCCGGUAGUCCCUGGGUCCCAGGCAACCGCGGAGGCGACGGGAGUCGUUACAGGUGUCGGCACGGCAUCCCUUCGCCGUCGCCGGCAGCGCUGCGAGAACGUGCCACUGAAAGAGGCAAAGACAGCAAAGAGUAGUGUGGCCACUGCAGGCAAGGCGGAGACAGUGGGAAACGUCGCAAGAUCACCAGCAUCACCGCGGCGUGGGCGACCGCAUGGGCGGCCACCAGGAAGCGGCUCAGCAGGGCGGAAGCGCAGCCAAGGUGCCCACGACGAGGACGCGGAAGCGAAGGCUGAGAAUGGCAACAAGUGGGAGGUGGUGCAUUGGGUUCAGUGUGACCUGUGCAGCAAGUGGCGCAUCGUGCCGCACCGCGUGCCGGCCAAAGUUAAGUUCUGGGAGUGCAAGAUGCGCUAUGACGAGCAGCGCGGCCGGGCGACCACCUGCGACGACCCAGACGACGCCGAGCUCGCCGCGUGAGGCAAUGGAACCGCGCACCCGCACGGAGUUGUGUGACGUUAUAACCUGCCGCGGCGGUCGCUGUACACCCCAACACUCACCUAU
RNAcentral lists this unclassified non-coding RNA (3510 nucleotides) under Leishmania donovani. Its description in RNAcentral is "gene:LdHU3.33.1770(CDS-product:CW-type_Zinc_Finge r_putative)". The record is from RNAcentral. Lineage: Eukaryota; Euglenozoa; Kinetoplastea; Trypanosomatida; Trypanosomatidae.